This 460-nucleotide ribosomal RNA is filed under the name uncultured bacterium. RNAcentral describes it as "partial 16S ribosomal RNA". It matches the Rfam family "Bacterial small subunit ribosomal RNA", at positions 338 to 795 of the family's 1533-position model. The record is from RNAcentral.
CCUACGGGUGGCAGCAGUGAGGAAUAUUGGUCAAUGGACGAGAGUCUGAACCAGCCAAGUAGCGUGAAGGAUGACUGCCCUAUGGGUUGUAAACUUCUUUUAUAUGGGAAUAAAACGUUCCACGUGUGGGAUUUUGUAUGUACCAUAUGAAUAAGGAUAGGCUAACUCCGUGCCAGCAGCCGCGGUAAUACGGAGGAUCCGAGCGUUAUCCGGAUUUAUUGGGUUUAAAGGGAGCGUAGGGGGAUUGUUAAGUCAGUUGUGAAAGUUUGCGGCUCAACCGUAAAAUUGCAGUUGAAACUGGCAGUCUUGAGUACAGUAGAGGUAGGCGGAAUUCGUGGUGUAGCGGUGAAAUGCUUAGAUAUCACGAAGAACUCCGAUUGCGAAGGCAGUUCACUGGACUGCAACUGACACUGAGGCUCGAAAGUGUGGGUAUCAAACAGGAUUAGAUACCCUGGUAGUC